This 5798-nucleotide long non-coding RNA is filed under the name Cinara cedri. Lineage: Eukaryota; Metazoa; Arthropoda; Insecta; Hemiptera; Aphididae. The record is from RNAcentral.
GUGUAUUUUAAAUUAGAUAUUUAGUAUUAUUUGUGUAGGGAAUGAGAAAAUUAAAUCGAGAGAUUUUUAGGAUUUUGUUAUGUUUUAUGAGUUUAAAUAGUUCUACCCAAGUAGAAAUACUAAAUAAAUUUAAUACAAGUUCUCAACAAAUUUGAGCAUAAUUUCCUUUAUAAGAAUUGAAAUGUCAAACUUUAAUGAAAAUAAAUUUCGAUAAAAAUGCAAAGAUAUGUAGUGUCCUAUGUGUCACCCUUGAAAUAUAUAGUAGAGGUACGUUAAAAUUUCUGAAAAUUUAGUUGGAGGACGGAGUCUCCCAAUUUAGUACUAAUUAUAAGUCUAACUUAGUGGUAAUAAUAAUUGAGCGUAAUAUAUUGUGUAGUAGAUUUUUGUUUAUAAUCGCCUUAUGAUUAUAUUUUGAUGGCAAUUUUAUUUAUUUACGCACUUAAAAUUCAAAACAUGUUUAAUUAUAAAUUAAUUUCACUCAUGAUUAUAUCUUAACAAUAUAUCUUAUCAGUUAUUUUUUAUCAAUAAAUAAAAUUAUUUAUUAGGUAUAUAAUAUAAUUGUAUGGAAAAUUAGGAUUAUUUUAUAUUAUAACGAAGUAAAACUUAUGUAAAGUGAACACAACCUAAGUACGAAAAAUAAACACUGAAACCUCACAUUGUUCUUAUAUUCUUCUAGAAAAUCAUUUUCAAUAUGAACAGUCUCUAUUGUCCGGUGAGUUUAUUCUAUAAAUCUAUUGAUAUAUUUUAGUAAUUAUAAUUGGAAUAUUUACAUUUAGGUAUACAAGUAGUAACAAUAAUACUGAAAAUAAUACAGUCAAUGAACUAGAAUAUAAUAUUGAAAUUAAUGAACUUUGUGAUUUAUCCUACUAAGAAAUAAUUAUCAAUAUGAAAAAAACUAUAUUAACCAGUAAAAUUAUCAUGUAAAUUAUAUUAAUACACUUUGUUAAUUAAAAUUCCAAUAUUUUCAUUUAGGUACCACAAAGUGUUAUAAUAAUACUGAAAAUCUUGCAGUCAAUGAACUAGAUAGCGACAACUUGGACAAUAUUGAGGCCCUGUACAGUCAUUUUUGCAAGACCUUGAUAAGCUUUAUUUUUGUUUUUUUAUUUUCCAUUACCUAGCAUAGGUAGACCUUUAAAUACAAUUUUUCAUUGUUUAUUAAUAUUAAUUUGUAUUUUUUUAAAUAAUCAUGUGAAAUUACUAUCUAGCUAUGACAAUGACUAAACAUGGUACUUCUAAAAGCGUGGGGUUUUGUGUCACAGCUUGUAAAAAAACUUCCUUCAAGUAGGCCCUGAAAUUAGAACUUCAUAUUGAAUGUAAUUAACUUUGUGUUUCUGUACAUCAAGAAAAUGAUGAUCAAUGUAAACAAUCUUUAAAAACCAGUAAGAUGAUAUUAUACAUUUUAUUAAAUUGAUACAUUUUGGUAUAAUUAAAAUAAAUUGGAAUAUUUACAUAUAGGUACUAGAAGUUUUAACAAUAAUUCAGAAAAUUAUACAGUAUUUAAAUUUGAACAAAAUAUUGAGCGUAAUUAACUCUAUGAUUCUGUCUUUUGAGAAAAUAAUGAUCAAUAUGAACUGUCUUUAUCAGCCGGUAAGGUUAUCUUAUUAUAUUUUAUUAACAUAUUUUAAUAAUUAAAAUUAAAAUAUUUUUAUUUAGGUACCACAAAUUGUUAUAAUAGUGAAAAUUAUGCUGUCAAUAUAUUCAAUCGACUUGGUGUUUCUGUCCUUUGUGUGAAUAAUGGUCAAUAUGAAAAACCUACAUUAACUUGUGAGAUUGUCAAAUAAAUAUGAGUUGAAAUGGGCCAUCUAUCAGUCACCUGCAUCUAUAUAUAAAUAUGGCUGCAUUUGAAUUUCAUGCCAAAAAAAAGAGCAUUGUUAGUUGACAACCAAGUUACAUGCGAUUAGUUAUGAUUAUAAUUUAUAGAUAAAUAAAUUUUAUAUAGUUCAGCGAUUUAUAAUUUUUGAUGAUCAAUCAAUAGUAAAAUUUUAUUUCAAACACUGUGUACUGUGAAUAAAAUGGGGAGGGGUAUUAUACCAUAAGUGCAUCAACUGUUUAGGAAUUCCUUUAAGGCUCAAGAUCAUUCCUACAUUGAUUUUGAAGAAAUGUUACAUUAUUAUUUGAACAUAAUCUAAUUGAAGAUUGGCGAAUUGGGCACGAAAAAAACCGAAGUUGACAAACUGUACAAUAUGUGCAAUAUGUACUUACAAAAAAAAAAAAUGAUGUAGACAAUUUAUACGCUAUAGUGGUUUCUAUUGCGUGAUAAAAAUACAAAGCCAAAAUAACAAAAACAAAAAGAGCACAAUUUGUAAAAAAAAUCAAUAACACAUGUAAUUUGUCAAGAUUCAAGGUGAAACUAAGUUUUAAACUAUCUAUGUAAGUAUACAAGUAUACUUUUUAAACAUCCUUAAAGAUGAUGUCACUUAUGCCGAAUUUGUUGAAAAAAUAAACCCUUGACGUGAAAGAGGUCAUUUUAAGUUCGGAGCAGAGCGAGGAAUGUAUUGGUUUGCAAUGAAGUUUAUUUUUUUUUUAUGCUGUGUAGAAGAUUUCAACUAGCUCCAAAUAUCUAAAUUGAAAGUGAAAAUUAACUCUCCAAUAUCAAAUAUAUAAAAAUAAGUAAUCCAUACAAUAAAUCAAUCUAUGUACAAAUAUUGAAAGAUUUAGGAAAAUAUACAAUUCCCAAUGUUCAUAUUGCACAUGACCAUGUUCAAUAUGAACUGUAAACAUGUCAGUAGGCAGCCUAAUGUAAUUAUGAAUAUAAUAUAAUAUAAUAUUUAACCUUAACCUGUCUUAUAUGAUAAUUUAUGUAUAGCAACAAGUAUUCAAAAACAGAAUGCAAUGAAAAGUUGAUGAUAGCAGUUUUAACACUAGGUUGAAAGAGUGGCAUUUUGAAAAAUAUACUUUAAUUCGUAGAAGAACUUAAUGAAUUUUUCUCAGACACGGGAUAUCUGCUAGCGAAUUGUUAUACCAAAGAGUUGGAUGCAAGUUUUAAAUUAUUUUUAAAUAAUAUUGAUUCACUUCAGUCAUUUAGCCUCAACAAAAUUUCAAAAAGGUGAGUAAUAUUGUACAAGGUGAUCUAUUAAUCAUAUGACACUCAUUAUAAUGAGUACCCUGUAGAUAUUGUAUCAUUAUUCUUCCAUACUAUCUUAUGAACAGACAACCGAAAAAAAACUGCAUAUUUGUUAAAUUUAAAAAUAAUGUUGUUUUCUAAUAUACAGAUUUAACAAAUAAUAAAUUUAAAUAUCCAAACAUAUCAUUCAUGGAAGCCAUAAUUUUAGUAAUUGUCCAUAAAUGUAAUGAAUUUAAAAAAGAAACCAACUUCACAGUAAAUAUGAUGGUUUGUCUAAUAUUAAUGUAAUAUUAAAUUUUGAUUUUCAAUUUUAAUUUUAGCUAUCCGAAUUAUGCCUGUAUACAAAGCAAAUGAUGGUGUAUGGUCAAUUUAGGCAACCUAAAUACAAAAAAUGAUAAAAAAAAUUAUCAGUAGAGAUUAAUUUUCCUUACUAAAAAUAAUUCACACACAGAAAUAACCACAAUUAUGUUAACAUCCUGAAUAUAAUUUAAAAUAGAGUUUAUUAUUAAAUGAGAUUUAUAGUUUGAAAGUGGAGGAUUAUUAUAAGUUUGUAAAUAAACAUAAAGUGCUGCGUAUAAUCUUGUUUUAUUGGUUAUUUAACAUUAAUUUUUUUUUUUCAGGAGUAUAACAACAAGGGUGAAAGUCUUACAGUACUUUUGUUAAUGACUUUUUAACAAAAAAAGUAUAACUAUUCUAUUAUGACAUUAUUCACGAAGCAUACAACAACUAUAAAGACAAGUAUCUAAAUACGCUAAAUGAUCUAAUACAGAUAAUUAAAUUACAAAAAUCGCUAAUUAUAAUACAUUUCCGUUGACAUCCACCGCUAUCUCACAAAAAAAUUAAUUGAACUUUAACAAGUAAAUAAAAAAAAACUUAAUCAAUUUAUUAUUAUUUCUAGCACAACAAUGGAAAUGAGAAAACUAUUAGAAGAUAUUGUAUGAAGAUAAUGAGUGCCAAAUCAUUCUUAGCUGCCUUAUCUUGUAAUGGUGUCCUGUCUGGAUACUACUAAAAUUUCCGUGGUCUCAGGACAAAACUUAUCAAAAAUAAUUGCAGUUCUUUAGCUUUAAAUUUUAUUUUUAUUGUACUAAUCGAAACUUGGUUAACAUAUUACUUUUUGAAAUCUGAGCUUGGGCUUGUUAACCAGAAUAUUUUUAGUUAUGCCCGUUGUAAUGCUACCAUUAACUAUUUUUACUGUGGAGGGGUCCUCAUUGUUGUUCAUAAGGAUAUCUGCUUUCCCUGUAAAUCAAUUAUUUAUGGAACACUUCUUUGUUUAUUUUUCUAUUGGUUUAUCAAAUUUUAUUAUGAAGGUGUAUACAUUCCAACAAAAUCUUUCCUUUUAAUCUAUGAAUCUCAUAUUGGUUCUAUUGAGCUUUUUUUCAAGUGUUACUCAGAUAAUUUAUUCAUUAUUUGUGGUGACUAUAAUUUCCCCGAGGUUCCGAUUGGUUUAGUGCACUGAGUUUGUCACUUAAUAUUUCUAAGUGUAAAGUUUUUACUUUUGUCAAGAUGAAAUCUCUUGUGUUUUUUUUUUUUGUACUCCUUUAACACCUUUAACAUAGUCAAUAUUCUGUACAUAAUUAAUAGUAUUUUAGAUCUUGAUUUUAAAUUCACUUCCAACCUUGGGCCAAAACAACAUAUUGAAUAUAUAUUCUGCAAGGUGUUUAAAUUGCUGGGCUUUAUUAUUAGAUUGACUAAUGAGCUAAAUCUAAGUGUAUCAAUCAAGGUACUUUUGUGUGCCCCAUUUUGAAGUAUGGAUGCACUAUUUGGGAUCCUUAUACUGCUUGUGACAUGUGGCAAAUUGGACGAGUCCAGAAUAAGUUUUUACGUUUUGCUAGUUAUAUUUUAAAAUCCACUAUCCACCUCAUGACUAUUCACCAGUAACUAAUCUUCUUGGCUUUUUUUCAUUGGCUGAGCAAAGGUGAACUGCUCGAUAUAGAUUAAUUGAAUGACUAUUAAAUGGCAAAAUUGAAUCCACUGUUGCGUGCCUCACGUAAAAAGACAUGUGUGAACUGUAAAUGGUAAUAGCUGAAAUGUGUGCUACCUAAAACCUACUCAAUACCUACCGAAAUACCUACUCAAUAUAGAUGGGCCUGUAAUUGUAAUGUAAUUGUAACUGUAAUGUACCAAAAGUUGCUGUGGCCUCUCAGUUUCAGUACACAGACCCACACCGGUCAUAUUCUAAUUUCCAAUACAAAUAAACAAUAGUAUUUAAGAUACUAUAGUAUAUUUCUUGUUUAUGUUUAUAAUAUUUAUAUAUUAUGCAUUUAACAUUAGCAUGUAUAGUUUACAGUAUUGGCCAUUGACAACACAAUGAGGUUGAUUUGUGUUGAUUUACCUAAUAAAGGUGAAAGCAACCGAGAUUUCGCAAAGUUAAAUUAGUCUAAUUGUAUUGAUUUAUUAAUUAUUAUUUUAGUGUUUACUGUUAUAUUUAAAUUGUUAACAUUGUUAUUAUAUGCACUUUAUAAAAUACAUACAAUUUACAAUAAUUAUGAGUACAAAAUUUUUGUAUAAAUAUUUUAAAUUGAAAUGUAUAAUCUUUAUUUGAAUGUAGUAUGACCUCGAGUAUGCAACUAAUUUAACCGUUUUUUUAUUAAAAAUGUGUUACUAGUAUCAUUACCUUUUUUUUUUUUAAUAAGUCACUAUUUUCAGUUUUUCUAACGCCAAAUUUUUAUGCUUCAAUGGGCUUAAAUAUUAUUAAAUUCAUAAUUGUAAACCUGACCUAUUGGUUUAAUAUUAC